This 1066-nucleotide long non-coding RNA is filed under the name Salmo salar (Atlantic salmon). RNAcentral describes it as "lncRNA (ENSSSAG00000118713.1)". Lineage: Eukaryota; Metazoa; Chordata; Actinopteri; Salmoniformes; Salmonidae. The record is from RNAcentral.
GAGAAAAAAAACAGCCACACAAAACAUCUUUACCACAGAACAUUUUAAUAAAUUCAGACGUGGACUAGAAAAACUGACAAAAGGCAUUUUUUGUAUUAAAUAAAUUAGCUUAACUAAUAACAGGUAGUUUCGUUCCACUGCAGGACUUCUAUGUUACACUGACAUCGCCAUGGACUCUCUCUCUAACGACUGACAGAUGUCAAUCAGGCAGACGCUCAACCGGAUCAGCAGAAGUAAGAUCAUAAUAUCUUUCUCAGGUCAAUAAGUUCAUCAGCGAACUAGUGUUUAACAUUCAGAUAGGACUCUCGACAUGGAGUUGAGAAUGUGAUUGAACACCAAAGCCUUAAAAAAAAAAAGAGUCUUUCAGUGUGAACUGAGGAAUACAGAACAAGUUAUUUCAAGGCAUUUCUGAACGUUUAUAAGCUGCCUCAAUGGUCCUGGCUUUAGGUAGUAUGACACUACUUGUCCAACCGCUCAUUUGAAAAAGCAUUUUAGGGCCCCGAUUCAAAUCAGCCGUGUCAGGAGGUUCUGCGUUAGAGCUAUCUAAUCCACAAGCGGUUCCAGGUCUAAUCCACAAGCGGUUCCAGGUCAAAUCCACAAGCGGUUCCAGGUCAAAUCCACAAGCGGUUCCAGGUCAAAUCCACAAGCGGUUCCAGGUAUACCGGACAUUGCCAGUGGCUGCAUGAAGUCACAUUAAGAGAAAUAUCAUGCAGCCUUGUUUACAAUUUCGGAUGACAACCGGCAUUUUCUUUCGGAUGUCGAGAAAGGAAUCAGGAAAAAAUAUAUAAUUUCCUGGUGUGAUACAAGGGACGAUAUUUUGGCGUUUCGUAAUAUUUAAUCAUUCCAGAAUGUUCCCCUCUAUCUGGACUCCUAGAUGAGGCUUCAUUCGUCUUCAUGGAAACAAGUGUUAGAAUCGGUUCGAUAGAAAACAAAACAGUCAGAAGAAGAAGAGAAGUCUCCAGGUCUUUGGUUCUGUUCUGUUCAGGCAUUUUGAUUGGUCCACAGCCAGGGCAGGGGUUAGAGGUGAGGGGUGCAGUACAGAAUCCAUAUCAGUCCUGGGGGGGGG